This 3163-nucleotide long non-coding RNA is filed under the name Canis lupus familiaris (dog). RNAcentral's name for it is "lncRNA (ENSCAFG00030002971.1)". The record is from RNAcentral. Lineage: Eukaryota; Metazoa; Chordata; Mammalia; Carnivora; Canidae.
CUGGCCGCCUCAGCCCUCCCCAGCGUGGGUCCCGCGGACUCUGGCUGCCCGCCCCCCCCCCCCAGAGGCCGGUGGGCUGUGCGUUCCCCAGGCGUUCCCAGGCCAGCUGCUGGCUCCGCUUCCCGCUUAGAGCCACCCUGGCCACGCGGACGCGGCCACCCAGGGUUCGCCGCGGGCCGGCGGCGGGGGCCAGCAGGAGGCAGCGGGGGCAGGCAGAGGGCAGGAGCGGGGCACGCGGGACGGACGGACGGACGGACGCUGCCACAGGACUCAGGAUCACCGGCAUCUUCCCGCCUUCGGGCCGUCCCGGCCCCUCCCGGGCGGGGCCAAUUCCCACAGUGGGCUUGGGUAGGAAGGAGCCGGCCGGGCUGCCCCGCCGAGAGGCGCAGCCCCCGCCCGCCCUAUCCCCUCGAGCUCCGCCCUGCUCUCGACUCUCCGGACUUGGACAUGGCUGGAGAGCCCGGGCCGGGCCCUGCGCACCCGGGCCUCAAGCGGCCUCAGGGCACUGCCAGCCCCUGUACGAGUGAUUAUGACCUGGACCAUAAGCUGUACAGGGAAAAUGUCCCCUACAGUAGGGUGUAUGAAUACCAAAGGAUCCCUCCACUCAUCAACCGCGUGCCUGUCAGGAUCCGGAGGACCCAGGUGGGCAUGGGGGUCAAAAGCAGCUUCCGUCUUCACACGGGCCCCAGGAAGAGCCACCUGCCCCGGGAGCAAAUAAAGCGGUCAGAGGACAGUGAAGAAAACAGAGGUCCAGAACUCCAGCAGGAGCCCCAGGGCCAGAAGGCCCAUCCAGAAGCAGACAGCUCUGAGGACAGCACAGACCCAAAGGAGGCAGUGAAGAAUCCUGCAUCGGACCAGGAGGGCAGCCAGUAGAAUGGUGGAACCCCUCUGGGCUCCUUCCUGGAUGGCUCCCUUCCUUGCCUCGUGUGGGUUUUUGAAGGCCUCCUGGAGGUGCCUGUGCAGCCCGAAGCCACCCUUCUGGAAGGAGUGCAGUGAAGUGGGGGCCUGGCUCAGCCAAACUAGCCAUGAAGCUUCUCCGUAAUGGUGGCUUUUGGAGGUCACGUUUUCCGAUGAUACGGGCUGAGGGUGGCCUGCAGCUGCCUAGCAUAAGCCUCCCAUCCUCAUGAAGCUGAGGCCGUCUUGCAAGGGGCCCCAGGUCCCCCUGGGUACACAUCAGCCCCCAGUGACCACAGGUACCGUAGUGGCUGCUCCCCACUCCGAAGGGCCCUGCCAGUUCUGAGUAGGCAGCCAGCACAGUUCCCUCCAGCCACAGUGGCAUACCGGAAACCCUCAUGUUCCUACGGUCCCCCUUCCAGUCUGCACCUGGGCUUUCAGCUCCUCAGUGUGCCCCACAUAAUCCCCUUUGGUUCCAGACUCCCCAUCCACCCUGUAAAGCCAUCCUUCAGAAUAGGGACAUCAUUUUUAUGUUCUGCUCCUGUCUAGUCUCUUGCUAGUGUGAUACUAUGUGUUUCAGAUCUGCUCUGGAAAUAGUAUUGUAUCAAAAGGGAGAAAAUGGGGAUCCCUGGGUGGCGCAGCGGUUUGGCGCCUGCCUUUGGCCCAGGGCGCGAUCCCGGAGACCCGGGAUCGAAUCCCACAUCGGGUUCCCGGUGCAUGGAGCCUGCUUCUCCCUCUGCCUGUGUCUCUGCCUCUCUCUCUCUCUCUGUGACUAUCAUAAAUAAAUAAAAAUUAAAAAAAAAAAAAAAAAAAAAAAAAAAACAAAAGGGAGAAAAUGCACAACAUUUUCCCCCCUUUUGGGGGUCAGGGGUUCUUGGUAGGGUCAUCAAGCCUCAUUCUGGUCUUUGGGCUGCCUCAGGCCAGGCCUUCCUGGAGAAGCUGAGCAGGCCCCUGCAUCACAGAAGUUCAGCAGUUCCUACUCAGCCAGGGCACAGAAGAGGGGACCAGGCUUCCCUGCCUUCUUCCAAUUCAGACCUGAGCACAAACCCACAGAGCUCAUGAGCCACAUAGGGAAGAUCCUGCUCUUGUGGUCACUCAGGCCAGUUCUCCAUAUGGAAUGAUGGCCAGGCCACAUCUGACUUCCCAACAACCAGCAGCUCUUACUCCUGGAAGUUCAUCUGCCCUUUCCCAGGAGGCAAGACUGGACCAGGGGCACCAAAUAAUAAAGCCAACCUGGUGCAGCACCUGGGCUCAGUCGGUUAGGCAUCAGAUUCUGAUUUUGGCUCAGGUCAUGAUCUCAGGAUCAUGAGAUCAAGCCCAGCAUCAGGCUCUGCGCUCAACAUGGAGUCUGUGUGGAAUUUUCUCUCUUCUUCCCCACUGUCAACCCCCUUGCAUGCCUCUAAAUUAAAAAAAAAAAAAAAAAAAAAAAAGGCAGCCUGGACCCCUACUUCUUAGCAGCAGUGGGGGAGGCCUCUAGCUUCCACCCAGAGCCAAACCCCUUCCACCUACCCAAACCUGAGCUGUGGUCUUGCCCAGCACCAAACCAGAGGCCACAGAGUACACCCAGAGUGCUCCUGGGCCCACACAACCUUCCCUACUGUUGUCACCUUGGCAAUGGCCAACUCUGCUACUCUAGGGGCACCUUCACCUCCUUCAAAGCACAUUUCCCCACACCAACUCCUGCACCUCCUUUAGUUUCAGCCAGUCUUUUCUGCUUAUGUUGGUCUAAGGAACAGGACACAUUUAAGACAAUGCUGUCCCCAACCCCUUGACACCAGGAGUCGACUACAGGGCACAAAAGAACCUUGUUCUUUUAAAUUCACUACCGAGAUGAACCACGAUAGACUUUUCCAGAUAUAGAGGAGUUUGUUUUAGCUCAGAUAUAAAUGAGAAGGCACAGCCCCCUUGUCCAUUCUCUCAAAAGCAGCCCAAGUCUAUAGAAGGGAGUCACUAGCUGGCCUGCACAGGGUCCAUCCCUUACAACAGUUCCAAGUCCCGUCCUCCAGAUGAGUCCAGCUGAAGUCCUUCCCAACCUGGGAGGCAAGCUGCAUUCGCAAGUUUCUUCACCUGGGUCGUAGCUGGGAAGCACCUGCUCAAGUAGAAACGUUUCUUUAACAGAAGUCUCUAAAGAGCCGUCCCAACACAGCCGUCCGACGCUGUGCACGCCCCGUCGGAUCCUCUCCCGCCCGGAGUUCUCCGCGCCGCGCAGUCUGGCAGCGGACGGCAAGGGUCCUUCGGGGGACGGGGGCAGCUCGGUCCUCGGCGUCCG